This 2039-nucleotide long non-coding RNA is filed under the name Ananas comosus (pineapple). Its description in RNAcentral is "long non-coding RNA (ACOM_LNC023830)". The record is from RNAcentral. Lineage: Eukaryota; Viridiplantae; Streptophyta; Magnoliopsida; Poales; Bromeliaceae.
GAUAUAUAUAUAUAUAUAUAUAUAUAUAUAUAUAUAUAUAGAGAGAGAGAGAGAGAGAGAGAGAGAGAGAGAGAGAGAGAGUGCAGCUAGGAUGCUUAUGGAAGCACAGAGAGCUCCGUGCUUCCACUUUGUUUUCGAUGUUCGGACUUUCGAAUCGACGAUCGACUCCGUUAGAUUUGAUCUAGAGUAUUUGAAGUAUCUAGAAAAUAAAUUUUGCGAUUUUUUGAUAUCAUUUGCCUAGUGAUCGAAGUGGCUCAAAAUCAACGGCUGAAAAUAAAAAUCUUACAAAAUAUGAUGAUAUGACAUUAAAAUUUUAGAUCAAAAUUAUUGAUCUUAUUUUAUAUGGUAUAAAGAAUUUUCUAUCAAAAUUUCAUGUGAUUUGGAUAUUUCUACACCGUUAAACUUGCAAUCGGCUCACCACGCCAUUAAAAUUAUUGAUUUUGAACCCCUUCGAUCACUAGGCAAAUGAUAUCGAAAAAUCACAAAAUUUAUUUUCUAGGUAUUUCAAAUACUCUAGAUCAACUCUAACGGAGCCGAUCGUCGAUUCGAAAGUUCGAACAUCGAAAAUAAUUUGGAAGCACGGAUGGCUCCGUGCUUCCAUAAGCAUACCAGCCACUCUAUAUAUAUAUAUAUAUAGUAGGGCUACUAUACUCUUAUAAGUAUAGAGCUCUUCGUAUUCAUAAAUUGCUUUCGAUGUUCGGGAUUCCGAAUUGACGAUCCAUACCAUUAAACAUGAUCUAGAGUAUUGAAACUUCUAGAAAAUAAAUUUCGUAAUUUUUCAAAAUCAUUAUAAAGUCCAUCAAGCGGAUAUAAAAUGAACGGUCAAAAUCGCAUGGCAUCCUAAAAAUGGAUGAUCGGAUCCUUCAAUUUAAGAUCGGGGUUAUUGAUCUUUAUCUAGGUAAUGAAUAGAAUUUUCUAUCAAAAAUUCAAGCUAUGCCAAUUCUUUUACACCGUUAAACUAACAAGUAUCACAUACCGGCCGUUAAAAAUUGUCAAUUUUGUGAGCUAUUGAUCAUAAGAUAAAUAAUAUCGAAAAAUUAUAAAAUUUAAUUUCUAAAAGUUUUAAAUGCUCUAGAUAAUGUUUAACGGUCUGGAUCGUCAACUCGGAAGGUCUAUCAUCGAAAACAACUUAUGAGUACGAAUGCGAUCGUACUCAUAAGAGUAUAUUAGCAGGACUAUAUAGAGUCCGGCUACAAUACUUUUAUGAGUAUUGGCUCACUUAUACUCAUGAGUUUUUGACCCUUAGAUUUAUUCCAUUGAUCAUUUGCACUCGUUAGAUCAUACUAUUCAACCAACUACCCACUCAACUCUAGGGAACUACUAUCAUUCUAAGUGGGGAUUACCAUCAUUCUAACCACAUAUCCCAUCAAUCAAUGGUUAAAAAUUUAUAAAUAUAAGAGGAUCUAUAUUCAUAAGAGUAUAAUGGCCCCAGCCUAUAUACGUGUGUGUAAUAUGAAGCUCGGUGGGGCCACUUAUAUAUAGCCCAUGAAUUGUCUCUUUGGCAUCUUACGUCCACAAAUAUAUUUUGCAUACAUAAGUCAAUAAGUAACUGUCCCAGGCAGAAAAAUUAUGAAGGUAAUUGCUUAUAUAUUCUUAGAAAAUUUUCGAAUGUUUUAUUUACUUUUAUGAAAGACUAAUAUUAAAAAUAUUUUUUUAAUGUUCAAAGUUAUUUCAAAUAUGUUCCUAAAAUUAAAUUGAAACUGAUGUUUUCUCUGUAAAAUUAUUAUUUUGCCUUUUCAAAUAUACUCUCCUACCAUCAUCAACUUUUCUUAUUUGUCGUUAAGUUAGGGAGAAAAGAAAUAUUUUGACUUCCUUUUAACUCUGGUAUCCGGCUUUAAUCUGAGAUGCCUUAACGGGUAUUAAAAUGGGGUUAUUUUUUAAUAAAAGAGAAAUAUACAAUGAGUAUAUUUGAAACAAAAAAAUAAUAAAAAUAUAUAAAAUAUUUCAGAAGUUUUGAAGAAUAUAUUAGAUAUUUAUCCUAAAUCUUAUGCAACAAACAAUAUUUUACAUGUCGUUGAGUCGGGCUAUUAUUCUCUUUC